AGAGUUUGAUCCUGGCUCAGGAUAAACGCUGGCGGCGUGCCUAACACAUGCAAGUCGAACGCCCUGCUUCGGCAGGGAGUGGCGGACGGGUGAGGAACACGUGGGUAUCUGCCCUGGGGUGAGGAAUACCGGCGAGAAAUCGCCGACAAUACCGCAUAGGCUCCGGAAGGAGCAAAGUCGCAAGACGCCCUGGGAUGAGC
This 200-nucleotide ribosomal RNA is filed under the name uncultured bacterium. RNAcentral's name for it is "partial 16S ribosomal RNA". It matches the Rfam family "Bacterial small subunit ribosomal RNA", at positions 8 to 230 of the family's 1533-position model. The record is from RNAcentral.